AUGAGUCGACCCGAUGGGUUCAACAUCCCCGACGGCAAGUUGUACCUUGGAGAUGCUGUCUAUGCAUGUCGGCCGGGUAUUCUUCCACCCUUCAGGAAAACAAGGUACCAUCUCAAUGAGUUCUCUGGUAGGAACUUUCCUAGGAUUGCACAGGAGCUGUUUAAUCUCAGACACUCCAGCCUUAGAACUGUUGAGAGGGCAUUUGGAGCUCUAAAGAAUAGGUUUAAGAUCCUGGAUCAGAAGCCAUUCCACCCACACUCCACUCAAGUUAAGCUAGUUCUUGCUUGUUGCAUUCUGCAUAAUUGGAUCCUUCAGUGGGGCUUUGAUGAACACGUGUCUGAGGAGGAAGAGGUCGAGCUUGACGAUGUUGUUAGCUCUGGCCAUGGUGUGGAGGCAUUUGACAAUGACGCUUGGAAGAACAAAAGGUUGGAGUGGGCAGAGGCAAUGUGGCUUAACAGAGGUCAGUGCAGAAUUUGA
Molecule: ribosomal RNA, 477 nt
Filed under: Triticum aestivum (bread wheat)
Lineage: Eukaryota; Viridiplantae; Streptophyta; Magnoliopsida; Poales; Poaceae
Description: partial small subunit ribosomal RNA
Source: RNAcentral